Molecule: long non-coding RNA, 314 nt
Organism: Anneissia japonica
Lineage: Eukaryota; Metazoa; Echinodermata; Crinoidea; Comatulida; Comatulidae
Exons: 3
Source: RefSeq, a predicted model, not a curated record
CCAUUGCCUUUUUUAUCGAUGACAUUUUAUUUAUUUUAGAUGUUAUCUUAAGCAAGUUUUUGAAAGAUGCCAAAGCAGAAGUAGUGUUAAACACAAUUUUAGUUCACAUGGGGCUCAUCAAGAGUGAAGAGAAGAUCAAACCAGUUCCUGAUUUAUCAGGGAUUCUUCUUACACUUGCUUAUGUCAGCAAACAAGACUAUUUUCCUGCUAAUUUGAAGAACAUUUUAACUGUUUUUAUUGCAAGACCUCACCCAGCCUUAAAUCGCUGUGUAGAAGCUCGAGAUAAACUUCUUCGUGCCCUUUACACCUGAAAA